GAUGAAGAACGUAGCGAAAUGCGAUAAGUAAUGUGAAUUGCAGAAUUCAGUGAAUCAUCGAAUCUUUGAACGCACCUUGCGCUCCUUGGUAUUCUGAGGAGCAUGCCUGUUUGAGUAUCAUAAAAUUGUCAACUGUGUCACUUUUAUAGUGAUUUACAGAUUGGAUAUGGGAGUUUUUGCAGACCUAGUUUGUCAGCUCUCCUGAAACACAUUAGCAGUGCCUUGUUGGUCCUUGGGUGUGAUAAUUUAUCUAUGCCUUGACGUGUACCUUCAUGAAGGUUGUGCUGCUUCCAAUGGUCUUUGGACACAUUUAUUGAAGAUUUGAUCUCAAAUCAGGCAGGACUACCCGCUGAACUUAAGCAUAUCAAUAAGCGGAGGA
This 379-nucleotide unclassified non-coding RNA is filed under the name soil metagenome. Its description in RNAcentral is "partial contains 5.8S ribosomal RNA, internal transcribed spacer 2, and large subunit ribosomal RNA". The stretch from base 1 to 120 matches the Rfam family "5.8S ribosomal RNA", at positions 35 to 154 of the family's 154-position model. The record is from RNAcentral.